RNAcentral lists this ribosomal RNA (277 nucleotides) under Lecanora concolor. RNAcentral describes it as "partial 18S ribosomal RNA". Lineage: Eukaryota; Fungi; Ascomycota; Lecanoromycetes; Lecanorales; Lecanoraceae. The record is from RNAcentral.
AUAAAGUCGUAACAAGGUUUCCGUAGGUGAAGCAGAUGCACGUUCGCCUACCGGAGCCGAGGCGGGUCGACCCUAAAUACCCGCGCGAGUCUGCCCUCCGGUCGGGGCCGGCGACGCCAUCAAUCUGUGCUGGGAGCGAUCCUUCGGGUGCAACCAGCAGCUCGCCAAGAGUCCACAGAUCAAACGACGGCGGCCAUACAUGACCAUGGUUUAGAUAUGAUCGGCCCCAACUAUCAGAAGUUGGCGAAAUUUUUGCGGAACCUGCGGAAGGAUCAUU